RNAcentral lists this ribosomal RNA (253 nucleotides) under uncultured bacterium. Its description in RNAcentral is "partial 16S ribosomal RNA". It matches the Rfam family "Bacterial small subunit ribosomal RNA", at positions 524 to 776 of the family's 1533-position model. The record is from RNAcentral.
UACGUAGGGGGCAAGCGUUGUCCGGAUUUAUUGGGCGUAAAGGGCGCGUAGGCGGCUAGAUGUGUCAAAGGUGAAAUCCCUCGGCUCAACUGAGGAACUGCCUUUGAAACUGUCUGGCUUGAGGCCGGGAGAGGGUAGCGGAAUUCCCAGUGUAGAGGUGAAAUUCGUAGAUAUUCGCAAGAACACCAGUGGCGAAGGCGGCUUACUGGUCCGGUUCUGACGCUGAGGCGCGAAAGCGUGGGGAGCAAACAGG